RNAcentral lists this ribosomal RNA (234 nucleotides) under uncultured bacterium. RNAcentral describes it as "partial 16S ribosomal RNA". It matches the Rfam family "Bacterial small subunit ribosomal RNA", at positions 28 to 255 of the family's 1533-position model. The record is from RNAcentral.
GACGAACGCUGGCGGCGUGCUUAACACAUGCAAGUGGAGCGACGAACCAGGCUUCGGCCUGGGGCAGAGCCGCGAACGGGUGAGUAACACGUGGGUAACCUGCCUCGAUGACCGGGACAACCCGGGGAAACCCGGGCUAAUACCGGAUGUGCUGCCUUCACAUCAGUGGAGACAGGAAAGGAAGCUUCGGCCUCCGCAUCGAGAUGGGCCCGCGGCCCAUUAGCUUGUUGGAGU